RNAcentral lists this ribosomal RNA (225 nucleotides) under Staphylococcus aureus. Its description in RNAcentral is "partial 16S ribosomal RNA". It matches the Rfam family "Bacterial small subunit ribosomal RNA", at positions 1048 to 1274 of the family's 1533-position model. Lineage: Bacteria; Bacillati; Bacillota; Bacilli; Caryophanales; Staphylococcaceae. The record is from RNAcentral.
GUUGUCGUCAGCUCGUGUCGUGAGAUGUUGGGUUAAGUCCCGCAACGAGCGCAACCCUUAAGCUUAGUUGCCAUCAUUAAGUUGGGCACUCUAAGUUGACUGCCGGUGACAAACCGGAGGAAGGUGGGGAUGACGUCAAAUCAUCAUGCCCCUUAUGAUUUGGGCUACACACGUGCUACAAUGGACAAUACAAAGGGCAGCGAAACCGCGAGGUCAAGCAAAUCC